GAUCCUGGCUCAGAUUGAACGCUGGCGGCAGGCCUAACACAUGCAAGUCGAGCGGAUGAAGAGAGCUUGCUCUCUGAUUCAGCGGCGGACGGGUGAGUAAUGCCUAGGAAUCUGCCUGAUAGUGGGGGACAACGUUUCGAAAGGAACGCUAAUACCGCAUACGUCCUACGGAGGAAAGACAGGGACCGUCGGUCGUCGUCGCUNUCAGAUGAGCCGUACGGUCGGG
This 226-nucleotide ribosomal RNA is filed under the name uncultured bacterium. RNAcentral's name for it is "partial 16S ribosomal RNA". It matches the Rfam family "Bacterial small subunit ribosomal RNA", at positions 15 to 245 of the family's 1533-position model. The record is from RNAcentral.